GAGGCAUAGCUCAGUUGGUAGAGCGCCACCCUUACAAGAUGGAUGCCAUAGGUUCGAGUCCUAUUGUCUCC
This 71-nucleotide transfer RNA is filed under the name human gut metagenome. It matches the Rfam family "tRNA". Rfam says of the family: Transfer RNA (tRNA) molecules are approximately 80 nucleotides in length. Their secondary structure includes four short double-helical elements and three loops (D, anti-codon, and T loops). The record is from RNAcentral.